RNAcentral lists this ribosomal RNA (500 nucleotides) under Sulfoacidibacillus thermotolerans. Its description in RNAcentral is "bacterial SSU rRNA". It matches the Rfam family "Bacterial small subunit ribosomal RNA", at positions 793 to 1292 of the family's 1533-position model. Lineage: Bacteria; Bacillati; Bacillota; Bacilli; Caryophanales; Alicyclobacillaceae. The record is from RNAcentral.
GUCCACGCGGUAAACGAUGAGUGCUAGGUGUCGGAGGGUACCACCUCCGGUGCCGAAGGAAACCCAAUAAGCACUCCGCCUGGGGAGUACGGUCGCAAGACUGAAACUCAAAGGAAUUGACGGGGGCCCGCACAAGCAGUGGAGCAUGUGGUUUAAUUCGAAGCAACGCGAAGAACCUUACCAGGGCUUGACAUCGGCGUGACCGGAUCUGAGAAGAUCCCUCCCCUUUGGGGCACGCUAGACAGGUGGUGCAUGGUUGUCGUCAGCUCGUGUCGUGAGAUGUUGGGUUAAGUCCCGCAACGAGCGCAACCCUUGAUCUGUGUUACCAGCACGUAGAGGUGGGGACUCACAGAUGACUGCCGGUGACAAACCGGAGGAAGGCGGGGAUGACGUCAAAUCAUCAUGCCCCUUAUGUCCUGGGCGACACACGUGCUACAAUGGGCGGUACAACGGGAAGCGAAGCUGCGAAGUGGAGCGAACCCCGAAAAGCCGUUCGUAGU